AGAAGUUCGCGCAGCAGCCUUGAUCCAGGGUUCGACAACGAGUUUUGGAAGUUACACACGGUAUCAUCUACCAGAUCAAGCUAAAAUGAACGCCAAGGCAAUCCUCGCAGUACUGGCUGUUUACGCCCUUCUUGUUGCAGGCACGUCAGCCUGCGGUGGUGAGGGCCACUCCGAAUCAGGAAGAUGCGGUGGCAGCGAAGGCCGCAGCGAACAAGGAGCUGCCGAGGCCCGCCUGGACAGCGCUGCAAUGUCCAGCGAGUCGGCUCGCUGCGGUGGCCAAUCCAGUCGCUGCGAUGGCUAGCGGCGCCCUCGGAUACGCAGCCACUUCCGCACGAAGCCAGCCGUAUUUUGCCAACUGAUGG
This 362-nucleotide long non-coding RNA is filed under the name Dermacentor andersoni. RNAcentral describes it as "uncharacterized LOC126525191". Lineage: Eukaryota; Metazoa; Arthropoda; Arachnida; Ixodida; Ixodidae. The record is from RNAcentral.